RNAcentral lists this ribosomal RNA (390 nucleotides) under uncultured eukaryote. Its description in RNAcentral is "SSU rRNA". It matches the Rfam family "Eukaryotic small subunit ribosomal RNA", at positions 587 to 972 of the family's 1831-position model. The record is from RNAcentral.
AGCUCCAGUAGCGUAUAUUAAAGUUGUUGCAGUUAAAAAGCUCGUAGUUGGAUUUCUGGCGUGGUGCGCCCGGCCCGCCGCCGCUAAGGCGGCGAGUGCCGGCGCGCGCCUGCCAUCCUUCUGGAGAGUGUGCCUGCCCUUCACUGGGUUGGGCACGCGAUCUAGAUCGUUUACUUUGAAAAAAUUAGAGUGUUUAAAGCAGGCUUACGCUUCUGAAUACAUUAGCAUGGAAUAAUAAGAUAGGACUUUGGUUCUAUUUUGUUGGUUUCUAGAACUAAAGUAAUGAUUGAUAGGGACAGUUGGGGGUGCUAGUAUUUAACGGCCAGAGGUGAAAUUCUUGGAUUCGUUAAAGACUAACUAAUGCGAAAGCAUUCACCAAGGAUGUCUUCU